RNAcentral lists this ribosomal RNA (819 nucleotides) under uncultured Sebacinales. Its description in RNAcentral is "eukaryotic LSU rRNA". The stretch from base 163 to 819 matches the Rfam family "Eukaryotic large subunit ribosomal RNA", at positions 1 to 640 of the family's 3401-position model. Lineage: Eukaryota; Fungi; Basidiomycota; Agaricomycetes; Sebacinales. The record is from RNAcentral.
ACUUGGACGUUGUCGUGUUCACGANNCGUCUUAAAUGCCUGAGUGUACCCUGCUUUGCAGCGUAUCAGUGUGAUAAACAUCUUCACUGUUAAGUCUUUCGGGACACGCUCGUGUUGUAGGCUCUAUGCUUUCCAACCGUCCUCCGGACAAUCUCUGACAAUUUGACCUCAAAUCGGGUGGGACUACCCGCUGAACUUAAGCAUAUCAAUAAGCGGAGGAAAAGAAACUAACAAGGAUUCCCCUAGUAACGGCGAGUGAAGAGGGAAAAGCUCAAAUUUUGAAUCUGGUGUCUUUGACUCCCGAGUUGUAAUCUAGAGAAGUGUUUUCCGCGUUGGACCGUGCAAAAGUUCCCUGGAAUGGGGCGUCAUAGAGGGUGAGAAUCCCGUAUAUGGCACGGACUACCAUUGCUAUGUGAUACACUCUCAACGAGUCGAGUUGUUUGGGAAUGCAGCUCAAAAUGGGUGGUAAAUUCCAUCUAAAGCUAAAUAUUGGCGAGAGACCGAUAGCGAACAAGUACCGUGAGGGAAAGAUGAAAAGCACUUUGGAAAGAGAGUGAAACAGUACGUGAAAUUGUUGAAAGGGAAGCGUUUGAAGUCAGUCGCGUCUGUCGGAAUUCAGCCUGGCUUCUGCCUGGUGUAUUUUCUGGCCGACGGGUCAGCAUCAAUUUUGACCGAGGGAAAAAGACUUGGGGAAUGUGGCUGUCUUCGGGCAGUGUUAUAGACCCUCGUUGUAUGUCUCGGUUGGGAUUGAGGAACGCAGCGCGCCUUUUGGCCGGGGUUCGCGCCCUCGGUACGCGCUAGGAUGCUGGCAUAAUGCUAA